CCUCCUAUAGAUAUUCUCUUGCUUUGGAGUAUCCAAGGUAUUUGAAGAAGAAGGAAGAAAUCAGCCAUCGAAGUCCUUGUGGGCUAGCACCUUCAAGGACCCUGAUCUGCGCCAGUCUUCGCGUGGACUUUCUGUAGAGGCCAGAUGACUUCAUGUGGCUGCGAGCAACCUGAGGGACAUCAUCUCCAAGUGUUGGACCAGCAAAGAUCAAGAUCUUUUGGGUUUGAUAAUUAUUUCUAAUCUGUCUUGAUCAUAUUGUUAGAUCUAAUAGUUAGAUCUAGGAUUGCAGCAUUGAUGA
This 298-nucleotide long non-coding RNA is filed under the name Elaeis guineensis (African oil palm). RNAcentral describes it as "long non-coding RNA (EGUI_LNC034436)". Lineage: Eukaryota; Viridiplantae; Streptophyta; Magnoliopsida; Arecales; Arecaceae. The record is from RNAcentral.